AUGCAAUGUGAAAUGGGGGGUUUGCUUUUGUCCUUCUCCUUUGUAAGGAGUUCUGUUUUCUUGCCGUCCUUGUGGAGAUCAUAAAAGAAAGAGGACAGGAUAAACCGUCCUCCACGUUGCUUCCUGAAACAAUAUCAGAUGUAGGGCGGCAAACUACCUCUAUUUUUUUUUUCUUUUGGGCAAACAGCUGUUUUUGUUUUAAGCUACACGACGCCAAAUUCAAAGGGAACAUUAACUUCGUUCACUAGUUAAUGGAAUUACAGGACAGGAGGAUGAGUACAUGGCAACAAAUUUACAUACAACAGGUCAAUCCAGGGAAUCUGCAAAUUAUUCUUGUAUUCAUAGGAGCUCUCAUUUGUUUCAUGUAUCUAAGCUGAUAAUAUACUCAAAUCUUAAUUGCAUUCAAAAAAUUGCAGUGCGUUGUUUCAUGUUAGGUAUUUUUCUUUUCAAGACCAAUUAGUUGUACACCCUUCUAGAGAAGUUCUUAAUCUUCAAUGUCAAAAAAUUUGUGUUAAUCAAAUACAAGUGAAAACAUACAUUUUAGUCAGAAAGGGUAGCAGGUUUCAAUUUUUCCCAGGUCGAGACAUCAAGCCAU
This 595-nucleotide long non-coding RNA is filed under the name Brachypodium distachyon (stiff brome). RNAcentral's name for it is "long non-coding RNA (BDIS_LNC001737)". Lineage: Eukaryota; Viridiplantae; Streptophyta; Magnoliopsida; Poales; Poaceae. The record is from RNAcentral.